ACCCGCUGAACUUAAGCAUAUCAAUAAGCGGAGGAAAAGAAACUAACAAGGAUUCCCCUAGUAACGGCGAGUGAAGCGGGAACAGCUCAAAUUUAAAAUCUGGCGGCCUUCGGUCACCCGAGUUGUAGUCUAGAGAAGUGUUUUCUGUGCUGGACCAUGUACAAGUCUCUUGGAACAGAGCGUCAUAGAGGGUGAGAAUCCCGUCCUUGACAUGGACUCCCAGUGCUAUACGAUGCACUCUCAAAGAGUCGAGUUGUUUGGGAAUGCAGCUCAAAAUGGGAGGUAAAUUCCUUCUAAAGCUAAAUAUUGGCGAGAGACCGAUAGCGAACAAGUACCGUGAGGGAAAGAUGAAAAGCACUUUGGAAAGAGAGUUAAACAGUACGUGAAAUUGUUGAAAGGGAAACGCUUGAAGUCAGUCUUGUCUUCUGGGACUCAGCCUUGCCUUGUGCUUGGUGCAUUUCCUAGUAAACAGGCCAGUGUUGAUUUUGAUCGCUGGAAAAAGGCAGGGGGAAAGUGGCACUCUUCGGGGUGUGUUAUAGCCCUCGGUCAUAUGCAGUGGUUGGGAUUGAGAUUUAACAGCAUGCUUUUAGUGGUGCUUUUACUGGCAUAAUGGCUUUAAACGACCCGUCUUGAAACACGG
RNAcentral lists this ribosomal RNA (640 nucleotides) under uncultured fungus. Its description in RNAcentral is "eukaryotic LSU rRNA". It matches the Rfam family "Eukaryotic large subunit ribosomal RNA", at positions 23 to 664 of the family's 3401-position model. The record is from RNAcentral. Lineage: Eukaryota; Fungi.